GCACCUGUAGCUCAAUCUGGAUAGAGCAACACACUCCUAACGUGUAGGUUGUCGGUCCGACUCCGGCCAGGUGCG
RNAcentral lists this transfer RNA (75 nucleotides) under Patescibacteria group bacterium. RNAcentral's name for it is "tRNA-Arg". It matches the Rfam family "tRNA". From Rfam's summary of the family: Transfer RNA (tRNA) molecules are approximately 80 nucleotides in length. Their secondary structure includes four short double-helical elements and three loops (D, anti-codon, and T loops). The record is from RNAcentral.